This 156-nucleotide ribosomal RNA is filed under the name Plagusia squamosa. Its description in RNAcentral is "partial 16S rRNA". Lineage: Eukaryota; Metazoa; Arthropoda; Malacostraca; Decapoda; Plagusiidae. The record is from RNAcentral.
ACUUUAUAUGUUAUUUGAAUUUAAUUAAUUUUUAAAAAUUUAAUAUAAUAAAAUAUUUUAUUGGGGCGAUAGAAGUAUAAUUUAUAUUAACUGCUUUAAAUAAAAACAAUAAUAUUUGGUAGUAUUGAUCCUUUAUAAAGAAUAAAAGACUAAGUU